CACGUAGGGGACGAGCGUUGUUCGGAUUCAUUGGGCGUAAAGGGUGCGUAGGCGGCGCGGUAAGUCGGGUGUGAAAUCUCGGAGCUUAACUCCGAAACUGCAUUCGAUACUGCCGUGCUUGAGGACUGGAGAGGAGACUGGAAUUUACGGUGUAGCGGUGAAAUGCGUAGAUAUCGUAAGGAAGACCAGUGGCGAAGGCGGGUCUCUGGACAGUUCCUGACGCUGAGGCACGAAGGUCAGGGGAGCAAACGGG
This 253-nucleotide ribosomal RNA is filed under the name uncultured bacterium. Its description in RNAcentral is "partial 16S ribosomal RNA". It matches the Rfam family "Bacterial small subunit ribosomal RNA", at positions 524 to 776 of the family's 1533-position model. The record is from RNAcentral.